Small nucleolar RNA from Neopelma chrysocephalum (saffron-crested tyrant-manakin), 90 nucleotides. RefSeq annotates it as small nucleolar RNA Z159/U59. The record is from RefSeq and is a predicted model, not a curated record. The transcript has a single exon. NCBI's taxonomy places the organism in Eukaryota, Metazoa, Chordata, Aves, Passeriformes, Pipridae.
GACUCUGGGGAAGAAAAAAAUUAUGUAUUUCUUCUUGUGCAGUUCUUCAGAUGUGGAAAAACAACGAGGUGAAACAUGGACUGAUGGGGU